Molecule: long non-coding RNA, 130 nt
Organism: Xenopus tropicalis (tropical clawed frog)
Lineage: Eukaryota; Metazoa; Chordata; Amphibia; Anura; Pipidae
Exons: 2
Source: RefSeq, a predicted model, not a curated record
CUUUUCUUCUUUUUUCCAGUUUGAAUGGCUGUACAGCAGGCUGUGUUCCAGGCCGAGAAAAAGAGCUGGAUCUGCUGCUGGCAUCGCUCACUCUGCUUUCAGCCCGACUUCCAAUAUCUGCUCUCUGACC